UAAUCACCAUGCAACCCUACAAUUCUUGC
RNAcentral lists this non-coding RNA (29 nucleotides) under Mus musculus (house mouse). The record is from RNAcentral. Lineage: Eukaryota; Metazoa; Chordata; Mammalia; Rodentia; Muridae.